AACGAACGCUGGCGGCAUGCCUAACACAUGCAAGUCGAACGAGACCUUCGGGUCUAGUGGCGCACGGGUGCGUAACGCGUGGGAAUCUGCCCUUGGGUUCGGAAUAACAGUUGGAAACGACUGCUAAUACCGGAUGAUGACGUAAGUCCAAAGAUUUAUCGCCCAAGGAUGGGCCCGCGUAGGAUUAGCUAGUUGGUGAGGUAAAGGCUCACCAAGGCGACGAUCCUUAGCUGGUCUGAGAGGAUGAUCAGCCACACUGGGACUGAGACACGGCCCAGACUCCUACGGGAGGCGGCAGUGGGGAAUAUUGGAAAAUGGGCGAAAGCCUGAUCCAGCAAUGCCGCGUGAGUGAUGAAGGCCUUAGGGUUGUAAAGCUCUUUUACCCGGGAUGAUAAUGACAGUACCGGGAGAAUAAGCUCCGGCUAACUCCGUG
RNAcentral lists this ribosomal RNA (433 nucleotides) under uncultured bacterium. RNAcentral describes it as "partial 16S ribosomal RNA". It matches the Rfam family "Bacterial small subunit ribosomal RNA", at positions 29 to 507 of the family's 1533-position model. The record is from RNAcentral.